GAUGAACGCUGGCGGCGUGCCUAAUACAUGCAAGUCGAGCGAACAGACGAGGAGCUUGCUCCUUUGACGUUAGCGGCGGACGGGUGAGUAACACGUGGGUAACCUACCUAUAAGACUGGGAUAACUUCGGGAAACCGGAGCUAAUACCGGAUAAUAUUUCGAACCGCAUGGUUCGAUAGUGAAAGAUGGCUUUGCUAUCACUUAUAGAUGGACCUGCGCCGUAUUAGCUAGUUGGUAAGGUAACGGCUUACCAAGGCAACGAUACGUAGCCGACCUGAGAGGGUGAUCGGCCACACUGGAACUGAGACACGGUCCAGACUCCUACGGGAGGCAGCAGUAGGGAAUCUUCCGCAAUGGGCGAAAGCCUGACGGAGCAACGCCGCAUGAGUGAUGAAGGUCUUCGGAUCGUAAAACUCUGUUAUUAGGGAAGAACAAACGUGUAAGUAACUGUGCACGUCUUGACGGUACCUAAUCAGAAAGCCACGGCUAACUACGUG
This 497-nucleotide ribosomal RNA is filed under the name uncultured bacterium. RNAcentral describes it as "partial 16S ribosomal RNA". It matches the Rfam family "Bacterial small subunit ribosomal RNA", at positions 28 to 507 of the family's 1533-position model. The record is from RNAcentral.